AAGAGCUACAGUUUACCCGUGUUUAGGAUAUUGUGCGUGGGCUCUGGGUUGCUAGCCGGUUUGAGGGUGCAUUUUGUCUCGACCAAUCCUGCGAGGUGCUCUAGGUCCCGGCAUGCCCAAUGCGGGCAGGGGGAGGCUCCGGCCAAUUUGAAUGAAGACUCGAGCUUUCGGCGCCAUUUUCGAGUGAGCAGCUCCAGCAACAACAGCUGCACAGAGAGCUCCGCACCGGAGUCCUGUAAUUUGAAUGAGGGGACACUAUUUUCUUUUUGAUACCAGAGAACAAAUAUAUGUUUUUUUUUAAUAUUCGACCACAAAUUUGAGCCGUCUGUUUUCCGGUGGAUGAAUGCGAUGGACACAAAGGAUGUCCACAAAGGAUGUGGUGACAACAAAUAGUGAAGUGGAGACUGAAGUGAGCUAGGAGGCUAAUCCGGCUAGCAUCUCCAGCCGAGAAUGGGCGUCCGAUCGGAGCCGCGCUUUGGAAACGAUAUAUUUUUUGUAUUAUUUUUCGAAAAAAUCUAACAAAUAUGCGGAUUACUUGAAAAUUCUUGAAAAAAAUCGGAAAAUUAUUACAGGGGACGACGAAUAGAUCGGUGUGGGUUGUUUGGUGGAGCGAGGUGGUUUUUGUGCAUUUUUUAAACGUUAAGUUUGAGCGGGAUUGGUGAUGUGCGCGAGACGGCCGGCGAGCCCGACAGCCUAUCAGCGAGCGAGACACCGGGAUGCCACACCGACCGACUCUCUCCUGUUCUUUACUACAGUUUUUGUUCCUCUUUGUACAAGAAAGCAACGAUGACCAAAGUGCCCUUUAUUUCUUCCGUUUCUUUUUUCUUUUUUUGCUGCACGAACUGUAUCUGAGUGCACCGUCAGAAUAUGGAACCGUAACUUUUUGUUUCUAAUUUUUUGUGGAUUUACAAUAUCACAAAUGUUCAGGUGUUUUAGUUUUUCUUCCCAGGAGUUGAUCCUGCCUGGGACCGUAGGGAAACCCCCACAAAAUUUGCCUGGUUGUGACAUCAGAAACCUUGAAAACAAUUGAAGAUGGAGCCCUGGAAUGCCUCAAGCCCUGCUGAGAGAGAGAGAGGAGAGAGGAGUCACUCGCUCUGUGAUUCUGGCAGUGCUUGGUCAUGUUGCCGAGAGUGUGAGUGUGUGAAAGAGAGAGAGGGACCCUUUCUAGGUGAUGGUGUAGCAGCACAGAAUGGUUUGUGGUGAUACAGAGAUACAGGCCGUGAUGUGCUGCAGCAUCAAUUCCUGGGACAUACGCAGUCGAGAGCGAGAGAAGAGAAAGAUUGUGGGUGUGUGAAUGUGUGUGUUUUGCUUUAGCAGCAUGUAAAUAUUGGAGUUACUCCUUGGCCAAAGCCUCCAAUAUUGCUCGUGCUGCUGAAGCAAGAAGUCACCAAGCAGCACAUGCACGUCAUCAUUUUAGGGCCUAGCUGGGACAGGUAGAGUCUGACUCUGGUGCUGAAAUCAUCAAAUCAACAGAAGUCAGGAGGACCCUCAGUCCAAUGAUUAAAGGUAAAAUAGAUGCAGUACUUUGUUUUGUUUGGGAAGUAAAGUAGCUUUUUUAAAUGAAUGUUUUUUCUUAAUGUUUAUACAAAAGUUUGCUUUUUACUGUUUGUUUUCUUCAAUAUGUAAAAAUAUAAAUUUAUACGUA
Molecule: long non-coding RNA, 1645 nt
Organism: Carassius gibelio (silver crucian carp)
Lineage: Eukaryota; Metazoa; Chordata; Actinopteri; Cypriniformes; Cyprinidae
Exons: 4
Source: RefSeq, a predicted model, not a curated record